GACGAACGCUGGCGGCGUGCUUAACACAUGCAAGUCGAACGAUGAUGCCAGCUUGCUGGUGGAUUAGUGGCGAACGGGUGAGUAACACGUGAGCAACCUGCCCCUGACUUCGGGAUAACCGCGGGAAACCGUGGCUAAUACCGGAUAUGACGCGCUAUCGCAUGGUGGUGUGUGGAAAGAUUUAUCGGUUGGGGAUGGGCUCGCGGCCUAUCAGCUUGUUGGUGGGGUGAUGGCCUACCAAGGCGACGACGGGUAGCCGGCCUGAGAGGGUGACCGGCCACACUGGGACUGAGACACGGCCCAGACUCCUACGGGAGGCAGCAGUGGGGAAUAGUGCACAAUGGGCGCAAGCCUGAUGCAGCGACGCCGCGUGCGGGAUGACGGCCUUCGGGUUGUAAACCUCUUUCAGUAGGGAAGAAGGCCUUCGGGUUGACGGUACCUGCAGAAGAAGCGCCGGCUAACUACGUG
This 468-nucleotide ribosomal RNA is filed under the name uncultured bacterium. RNAcentral describes it as "partial 16S ribosomal RNA". It matches the Rfam family "Bacterial small subunit ribosomal RNA", at positions 28 to 507 of the family's 1533-position model. The record is from RNAcentral.